This 1987-nucleotide long non-coding RNA is filed under the name Homo sapiens (human). RNAcentral describes it as "HSALNT0332130". Lineage: Eukaryota; Metazoa; Chordata; Mammalia; Primates; Hominidae. The record is from RNAcentral.
UCCCUAGGUGGAGAAGACAGGGCUCCAAAUGGACUUCCAGUCCCAUCCACGUCACAGAGGCAAAUUGUCAGAGACAAAGACCUAAGCCGCUUUUGAUAAUGUGGCUACUUAAAACAACUGAAAUAACACAUGUGGUCCCAUUGUGGCCACAUUAGAUUUCUACUGGCCAGCGUGGGACUAGACUCAGGCUAAGGUCCUCCCAACUCAGGGUGUUUCAAAAAGCAAAAGUACCGUGGCUCCAGCGUCAGCAGAAAAACAAGUUAGAAAGACAGGCAGGGGAGGGGGCGAUCCCUCCAACUCCAAAGCUGUGCCAGGGAGACACCGCUCUUGGGGAAGUUGGGCUGCAGCCCCCGCACGUGCUAGGAAGAUAAGUGAAGGUCCCAACACAUCCUGUCCCCUUAGAGCCCCUGGGGCCCAGCAGCCGGGCCCAGCAGCCCGACCCAGCGCCUAGAGCCCAUUCGCAGACAGCGCGCUGAGGCGGCUUGGGCGCCAUGCCCUUUGGGUUACUCAGCUCUUCAGCCUCCUGGAACGCUAGGACAAAGGAGUGCCUUGGUGCUGGCAGAAGCCGGGGGGCACAGCUGGGUUUUACAAGGAAGGACGAAAUCUCAUCUCAGCAAUCGGGAUAGAUCAACCGUUGCCCGUCUGAGGUGACCCAAUUCAGGGACCAGCCGCUUGGCUCUGAACACACACGUGUCACAACCCCAGCUCGUACCCAGGCCUUGCUAGAGCUCCAGGUUUAUGAGCCGUAACUCAGCAGAAGCCUAGCAUGAGAACAACUCAUCUGAAGCUCCAACAUUUGGGGAAUGCAACCUUUCGACAGACAUUUGCUGAAUGGAUAGGAGACUCCUGAAAGCAGAAUUCUGCACAUUCUGUGGACCAGCCCUGACUACGGAGAGCAGGUGUUAGCCAGUAUCCAUGCGCAGUGCCUCUUAGUCUUACCUGUCUGCUGCCUUACGCAAGCAUGGAGCUUAAUAUGCUAGCUGUGUUCUCCUAACCUCAGAUAUCUGUAAAACCAGCCACAGUAAGAUAACAUGGUAGAGCACAAAAUGCUUAGAAGAGAUUUAUUUGAAGCAAUGCUUCCCAGAAGUUUUUCAAUGCAGCUUAUGGCGAGAAACACAUUUUACAUCUCUACUCAGUACGCAGCCACUCAUACUCAACUGAAACAUCUUCUGAAACAAUAUUUCACUUCACUCUCUGCAAUACAGAAAAUACCAGAUCGUAUUGUAUGUUAUUUCAUUGUUUUAAAAUCCUGAGCCUAGCUUGCUAAUAGAUUACAACUCAGUUUGAAAAGCACAGGCUAAGGGGCUUCAAAUAGGGGUGACACAUUGAACACACACAUUUAUCACCUCUCCCUUCACAGAUCUCAUUAAAAUGAUAAUAAAGGAACAAAAUGGCAGAAAUCCACAAGGACAAACAGCAAACAAGAGGGACAUCAGCAGAUAGGCAACCUCAACAAGUAUAUCACAAUGAGUGACACACCCCCUAUAACAGCCAAUUUUGAUGGUCCUCCCAUAGCUCUUGCCUUAUUCUUUGUAAUAGGAUUCAGAUUGUUUAAAAUCCCCAUAUUCUACCGCAAAGUCAUGUUAUCAGGAAAGACCAACCCUAACCCCAGUUCCAUGGAGUAAAGAUUAAUUAAUCUAAACUCUAUUAAUUGUAUUCCCUUUAUCUGGUGAUAAGUUUAAGAGCUGAUCCCUUAAUUUUGGACAUGGGAGCACAAGAGAAACUCACUCAAGACUGGGAUUAAUUGUAGGAAAUAUUUCACAGUUUCCACAAGUCAGAAGAGCUAAUCCCAACCCUCUGUAUCUGGAACAUACACUGCUGCCAUUUUCUGCCCAUGAAGGGAAAUACCCAAGGUACUCUGGCAGAACAGAUUUUUGAAAACUUGAGUCCCUGAUGAUGUAAGUCAGCCACAAUGUUAAUCAACCCCAGAGCCACCUUAUUUCUAGACUUAUUAUGCAAGAUAAAAAAAAUCAACUUGCAGUAUGAA